Small nucleolar RNA from Callithrix jacchus (white-tufted-ear marmoset), 104 nucleotides. The record is from Ensembl. Lineage: Eukaryota; Metazoa; Chordata; Mammalia; Primates; Cebidae.
AUCCUUUUGUAGUUCAUGAGCACAAUGAUUGGAUGUUCACACACUUGUGUGAGAUGUGACAUCCUUGAACCUUAUUAUGAUGUCAGCACAUUACCCAUCUGACC